This 107-nucleotide small nuclear RNA is filed under the name Catagonus wagneri (Chacoan peccary). Lineage: Eukaryota; Metazoa; Chordata; Mammalia; Artiodactyla; Tayassuidae. The record is from RNAcentral.
GUGCUCAUUUCAGCAGCACAUAUACUAAAAUUGGAACAAUACAGAUAAGAUUAACAUGGCCCCUGUGCAAGGAUGACACACAAAUUCGUGAAGCGCUCCAUCUUUUU